This 253-nucleotide ribosomal RNA is filed under the name uncultured bacterium. RNAcentral describes it as "partial 16S ribosomal RNA". It matches the Rfam family "Bacterial small subunit ribosomal RNA", at positions 524 to 776 of the family's 1533-position model. The record is from RNAcentral.
UACGAGGGUGGCAAGCGUUGUUCGGGUUUAUUGGGCGUAAAGGGUGCGUAGGCGGUUUGGCAAGUCUUAUGUGAAAUCUAUGGGCUCAACCCAUAGUCUGCAUGCGAAACUACCGGGCUUGAGUAUUGGAGAGGUGAGUGGAAUUUCCGGUGUAGCGGUGAAAUGCGUAGAUAUCGGAAAGAACACCUGUGGCGAAGGCGGCUCACUGGACAAUAACUGACGCUGAUGCGCGAAAGCUAGGGGAGCAAACAGG